RNAcentral lists this ribosomal RNA (253 nucleotides) under uncultured bacterium. RNAcentral's name for it is "partial 16S ribosomal RNA". It matches the Rfam family "Bacterial small subunit ribosomal RNA", at positions 524 to 776 of the family's 1533-position model. The record is from RNAcentral.
UACGAAGGGGGCUAGCGUUGCUCGGAAUCACUGGGCGUAAAGCGCACGUAGGCGGCUUUCUAAGUCAGGGGUGAAAUCCUGGAGCUCAACUCCAGAACUGCCUUUGAUACUGGAGAGCUUGAGUCCGGAAGAGGUGAGUGGAACUCCGAGUGUAGAGGUGAAAUUCGUAGAUAUUCGGAAGAACACCAGUGGCGAAGGCGGCUCGCUGGUCCGGUACUGACGCUGAGGUGCGAAAGCGUGGGGAGCAAACAGG